UACGGGGGGGGCAAGCGUUGUUCGGAAUUAUUGGGCGUAAAGAGCUCGUAGGCGGUUUGUCGCGUCUGCUGUGAAAAUCCAGGGCUUAACCCUGGACCUGCAGUGGGUACGGGCAGACUAGAGUGCGGUAGGGGAGAUCGGAAUUCCUGGUGUAGCGGUGAAAUGCGCAGAUAUCAGGAGGAACACCGGUGGCGAAGGCGGAUCUCUGGGCCGUAACUGACGCUGAGGAGCGAAAGCAUGGGGAGCGAACAGG
RNAcentral lists this ribosomal RNA (253 nucleotides) under uncultured bacterium. RNAcentral's name for it is "partial 16S ribosomal RNA". It matches the Rfam family "Bacterial small subunit ribosomal RNA", at positions 524 to 776 of the family's 1533-position model. The record is from RNAcentral.